GGAUCCAGACUUUGAUCAUGGCUCAGGACGAACGCUGGCGGCACGCCUAACACAUGCAAGUCGAACGAGAGAGGAAGAGCUUGCUCUUCUGAUCGAGUGGCGAACGGGUGAGUAACGCGUGAGGAACCUGCCUCAAAGAGGGGGACAACAGUUGGAAACGACUGCUAAUACCGCAUAAGCCCACGGCUCGGCAUCGAGCAGAGGGAAAAGGAGCAAUCCGCUUUGAGAUGGCCUCGCGUCCGAUUAGCUAGUUGGUGAGGUAAUGGCCCACCAAGGCGACGAUCGGUAGCCGGACUGAGAGGUUGAACGGCCACAUUGGGACUGAGACACGGCCCAGACUCCUACGGGAGGCAGCAGUGGGGAAUAUUGCACUAUGGGGGAAACCCUGAUGCAGCGACGCCGCGUGGAGGAAGAAGGUCUUCGGAUUGUAAACUCCUGUUGUUGAGGAAGAUAAUGACGGUACUCAACAAGGAAGUGACGGCUAACUACGUGCCAGCAGCCGCGGUAAAACGUAGGUCACAAGCGUUGUCCGGAAUUACUGGGUGUAAAGGGAGCGCAGGCGGGCGAUCAAGUUGGAAGUGAAAUCCAUGGGCUCAACCCAUGAACUGCUUUCAAGACUGAUUGUCUUGAGUAGUGCAGAGGUAGGCGGAAUUCCCGGUGUAGCGGUGGAAUGCGUAGAUAUCGGGAGGAACACCAGUGGCGAAGGCGGCCUACUGGGCACCAACUGACGCUGAGGCUCGAAAGUGUGGGUAGCAAACAGGAUUAGAUACCCUGGUAGUCCACACCGUAAACGAUGAUUACUAGGUGUUGGAGGAUUGACCCCUUCAGUGCCGCAGUUAACACAAUAAGUAAUCCACCUGGGGAGUACGACCGCAAGGUUGCAACUCAAAGGAAUUGAC
RNAcentral lists this ribosomal RNA (899 nucleotides) under uncultured bacterium. RNAcentral's name for it is "bacterial SSU rRNA". It matches the Rfam family "Bacterial small subunit ribosomal RNA", at positions 1 to 914 of the family's 1533-position model. The record is from RNAcentral.